UCGGAUAUGGUGUAACGGCUAACAUUGCCGCCUUUCAUGAAUUGAUCGCGGCAGCUCGGGGUUCGAUUCCCCGUAUCCGAG
This is a non-coding RNA of Vararia minispora EC-137, 81 nucleotides long. Lineage: Eukaryota; Fungi; Basidiomycota; Agaricomycetes; Russulales; Lachnocladiaceae. The record is from the annotation of a GenBank genome assembly.